UACGUAGGCAGCAAGCGUUGUUCGGAAUUACUGGGCGUAAAGAGUGUGUAGGCGGUGCUCUAAGUUCGGUGUGAAAUCUCCCGGCUUAACUGGGAGGGUGCGCCGGAAACUGGAGUGCUUGAGCGCGGGAGAGGAAAGCGGAAGUUCCUGGUGUAGCGGUGAAAUGCGUAGAUAUCAGGAGGAACACCUGUGGUGUAGACGGCUUUCUGGACCGUAGCUGACGCUGAGACACGAAAGCGUGGGUAGCAAACAGG
RNAcentral lists this ribosomal RNA (254 nucleotides) under uncultured bacterium. RNAcentral's name for it is "partial 16S ribosomal RNA". It matches the Rfam family "Bacterial small subunit ribosomal RNA", at positions 524 to 776 of the family's 1533-position model. The record is from RNAcentral.